AACGAACGCUGGCGGCAUGCCUAACACAUGCAAGUCGAACGAGACCUUCGGGUCUAAUGGCGCACGGGUGCGUAACGCGUGGGAACCUGCCCUUAGGUUCGGAAUAACUCCCCGAAAGGGGUGCUAAUACCGGAGAAUGUCUUCGGACCAAAGAUUUAUCGCCUUUGGAUGGGCCCGCGUUGGAUUAGCUAGUUGGUAGGGUAAAAGCCUACCAAGGCUACGAUCCAUAGCUGGUCUGAGAGGAUGAGCAGCCACACUGGGACUGAGACACGGCCCAGACUCCUACGGGAAGCAGCAGUGGGGAAUAUUGGACAAUGGGCGAAAGCCUGAUCCAGCAAUGCCGCGUGAGUGAUGAAGGCCUGAGGGUUGUAAAGCUCUUUUACCCGGGAUGAUAAUGACAGUACCGGGAGAAUAAGCUCCGGCUAACUCCGUG
This 433-nucleotide ribosomal RNA is filed under the name uncultured bacterium. RNAcentral's name for it is "partial 16S ribosomal RNA". It matches the Rfam family "Bacterial small subunit ribosomal RNA", at positions 29 to 507 of the family's 1533-position model. The record is from RNAcentral.